CUAAGAACCCUAAUUCUAGAGAGAAGAGGGAGCUUCUCUCUCUAUAAACUAAACUACAUGAUGCUAUUCUACAUCUAAUUGCUCCCUCCUUUGCUCAAUCCUCAAUUUUGCAUGAAAUAGCCUCAGAAACGAGUUGGAUUUGGGUCUAGGAAGUUCAGAAAUCACCCCCAGCGAAUUCACUUUAAGCGGGUCACGUGCCUGACGUCACGCGUGCGCGUCGAUGGCCAAAAUCCCUUCUCAUGCGUACGCGUGGGUGACGCGUGCGCGUGGCUUGCAAAUCUCCUUCUCACGCGUACGCGUGCGCGUGGCCCUUAAUUCUCCAAAUGCUCAUUUCUUCAUGCAUUCUCCACGUUGUAUGCUUUUCUCUUCACUCCUUCUAUCCAAUACUUGCUUUAUGAACCUAAGAUCACUCAACAAAUACAUCAAGGCAUCGAAUGGAAUUAAGGUGAAUCAAAAUUAGCAAUUUAAAGGCCUAAAAAGCAUGUUUUCACUCUUAAGCACGAAAUCAGGGAGAAUUAUAAAACCAUGCUAUUUCAUUGAAUAAAUGUGGGAAAAUGUUGAUAAAAUCUCCUAAAUUAAGCGCAAGAUAGACCACAAAAUUGGAGUUUAUCAGGGACCACCUACCAAAGUCUCGUCACCAAAAUCUUUAAGG
This 652-nucleotide long non-coding RNA is filed under the name Arachis ipaensis. RNAcentral describes it as "long non-coding RNA (AIPA_LNC001698)". The record is from RNAcentral. Lineage: Eukaryota; Viridiplantae; Streptophyta; Magnoliopsida; Fabales; Fabaceae.